CCUACGGGGGGCUGCAGUGAGGAAUAUUGGUCAAUGGCCGCAGGGCUGAACCAGCCAAGUCGCGUGAGGGAUGACGGUCCUAUGGAUUGUAAACCUCUUUUGUCAGGGAGCAAAGGGCGCCACGUGUGGCGCUUUGCGAGUACCUGAAGAAAAAGCAUCGGCUAACUCCGUGCCAGCAGCCGCGGUAAUACGGAGGAUGCGAGCGUUAUCCGGAUUUAUUGGGUUUAAAGGGUGCGCAGGAGGAAUGUCAAGUCAGCGGUAAAAUUUCGGGGCUCAACCCCGUCGUGCCGUUGAAACUGGCGUUCUUGAGUGAGCGAGAAGUAUGCGGAAUGCGUGGUGUAGCGGUGAAAUGCAUAGAUAUCACGCAGAACUCCGAUUGCGAAGGCAGCAUACCGGCGCUCAACUGACGCUCAGGCACGAAAGCGUGGGUAUCGAACAGGAUUAGAUACCCUUGUAGUC
This 459-nucleotide ribosomal RNA is filed under the name uncultured bacterium. Its description in RNAcentral is "partial 16S ribosomal RNA". It matches the Rfam family "Bacterial small subunit ribosomal RNA", at positions 338 to 795 of the family's 1533-position model. The record is from RNAcentral.